GGCACUCACUCUUCGUUCUCUCGAGCAGCAGCACUCGGAGCCCCCACCGACCCAGCCACCAUGAUCAAGGUUCUGAUCCUCCUCGCCGUGCUGGCCCUCUUCGCUGUCUCGUACGCUGUGGCCAAGCCACAGUACUACGUCGCAGACAGCCUGUACUACGGGUACCCAUAUGCCGGCUACUACGGCGCCUACUACCCUCACUACUACUACGGUCGCUAAGCCUGUUCUCAAACUCGCGCCCCGACAUUUCAUGGUCACUUCUCCGAAAGCAACCUCAACUCGCUAACACAUUCUACUGUUCACUGCCUCUGGCACUCUUGAAGAAAUGCCUAGUCAUUCCGCCCCAUUGAUCUUCAAGCCACUCGUGCUCGGGCCCGAGCUCCCAUGCUUUCCACUAGAACACAUCCCAUGAUGCUCCCUGUUUUAACACCGGGCUUUCUUCAAUCUGGUCACUUGGGUUUGAAAUAACAAUAAAAAACAUUCUAACCAUA
Long non-coding RNA from Rhipicephalus sanguineus (brown dog tick), 491 nucleotides. RefSeq lists it as uncharacterized. The record is from RefSeq and is a predicted model, not a curated record. NCBI's taxonomy places the organism in Eukaryota, Metazoa, Arthropoda, Arachnida, Ixodida, Ixodidae. The transcript is spliced from 3 exons.